This 253-nucleotide ribosomal RNA is filed under the name uncultured bacterium. RNAcentral's name for it is "partial 16S ribosomal RNA". It matches the Rfam family "Bacterial small subunit ribosomal RNA", at positions 524 to 776 of the family's 1533-position model. The record is from RNAcentral.
UACGUAGGGGGCAAGCGUUGUCCGGAAUCAUUGGGCGUAAAGAGCGUGUAGGCGGUCCGGUCAGUCGGUUGUGAAAGUCAAGGGCUCAACCCUUGAAUGCCGGCCGAUACUGCCGGGCUAGAGUCCGGAAGAGGUGAGUGGAAUUCCUGGUGUAGCGGUGAAAUGCGCAGAUAUCAGGAGGAACACCGAUGGCGAAGGCAGCUCACUGGGACGGUACUGACGCUGAGGCGCGAAAGCGUGGGGAGCGAACAGG